RNAcentral lists this unclassified non-coding RNA (242 nucleotides) under uncultured Pluteaceae. RNAcentral describes it as "sequence contains ITS1". Lineage: Eukaryota; Fungi; Basidiomycota; Agaricomycetes; Agaricales; Pluteaceae. The record is from RNAcentral.
AUGAAUAAACCUGUGUGGGUUGUUGCUGACCUCCUUGGGGGUAUGUGCACACCUGCCAUCGUUUCAUUCACUCUUCCACCUGUGCACUUUCUGUAGGCUGCACUGUCAUUUUUUCGGGCUCAGGUAGUCCGGCAUGGGGAAUUGCCUUCUGGCCUUCCUUGGAUGGCUGUGGUCUAUGUCUUUAUCAACUCGUAUGUAAUUGAGUGUAUGAAUUGGGCUUUUAUUGCCUAUAAAACCUUAUA